AUACCUUUCUCGGCCUUUUGGCUAAGAUCAAGUGUAGUAUCUGUUCUUAUCAGUUUAAUAUCUGAUAUGUGGGCCAUGUGUCCACUUCGAUAUUAAAUUUAUUUUUUGUGGGGGAGGGUCCACNNNNN
Small nuclear RNA from Leersia perrieri, 128 nucleotides. It matches the Rfam family "U2 spliceosomal RNA". From Rfam's summary of the family: U2 is a small nuclear RNA (snRNA) component of the spliceosome (involved in pre-mRNA splicing). Complementary binding between U2 snRNA (in an area lying towards the 5' end but 3' to hairpin I) and the branchpoint sequence (BPS) of the intron results the bulging out of an unpaired adenosine, on the BPS, which initiates a nucleophilic attack at the intronic 5' splice site, thus starting the first of two transesterification reactions that mediate splicing. Lineage: Eukaryota; Viridiplantae; Streptophyta; Magnoliopsida; Poales; Poaceae. The record is from Rfam.